UGUCUGCUACAUUACAGACGUUUUGAAAAAGAAUAACCACAUACAUACAUUUAUGUAUAGCUUAUGUGUACACGACAAUAUAUUAUCCGCUGAAUAACAGAUUGUUUAGCAAUUAUUUCUCAAAACAAACGUAUCGACCGGAAAUUCAUUGUGUCCAUUGCAUGUGCAUAUACAUAUCGAAAAUAGAUGUACAUAUAUGUGCAUUUUUACCCAAUAGGAGGAACAUCCACGAAAGACAUCAUGUUCAGACUUUACUCUUGGUUUAUCUGCUGCAUCUUUCAACUUUGAGUUUGUAUUGAGCGACAAGAUAACCUAACCACAAAAGAAAAAUAAUUAUUGUAACAAAUCAAUUCAAGAAGUACAUAGCAAGUGUAAUCGCCGAUUACCUUCUAUAGGUAAAUAAACACCUCCAAGAAACGGUAGAAGGGAAAUGAAAGCGCGUUAAAGUAAUAGAAAAUGUGCAAACGCUGCUAAAAUAUUUGGCCUCUUCUAUUAAUUCAGUAUUAUUAUGUACACGUUAACGUCAGCGUGUAUAUAUUUGCUCUUAUAAUGUUAUCAGCAGUAUAUCUAAAAUAGUCAACGCCACAUACGAUAACACGUCGUGACCAAGAACUGCUCAAAAUACGAAAUACUACACUAUCUCUGGUCAAACAUCAGUAUUGUAAAUACAUAAAUAUACACAAAAUGGACGAAGUAUUUUCUUUACAUUUAGGAAAACUCGACAUUUUUGAUGUCUUCUUUCUUGCAGGCAUUUUAUCUUUAGUUAUACUAUUUUCUGUCUAAAAUGGGGCACCAACGACUGGAUGUUUGUUAAAAUUGUAAAAUUUUAUUUCAAUGCAACUAA
Molecule: long non-coding RNA, 844 nt
Filed under: Ceratitis capitata (Mediterranean fruit fly)
Lineage: Eukaryota; Metazoa; Arthropoda; Insecta; Diptera; Tephritidae
Description: uncharacterized LOC105664894, transcript variant X2
Source: RNAcentral